RNAcentral lists this ribosomal RNA (253 nucleotides) under uncultured bacterium. RNAcentral's name for it is "partial 16S ribosomal RNA". It matches the Rfam family "Bacterial small subunit ribosomal RNA", at positions 524 to 776 of the family's 1533-position model. The record is from RNAcentral.
UACAGAGGGUGCUAGCGUUGUUCGGAAUUAUUGGGCGUAAAGCGCGUGUAGGCGGCCUGGCAAGUUGGGUGUGAAAGCCCUCAGCUUAACCGAGGAAGUGCGCCCAAAACUACUAGGCUUGAGUACCGGAGAGGAUAGUGGAAUUCCCGGUGUAGAGGUGAAAUUCGUAGAUAUCGGGAGGAACACCAGUGGCGAAGGCGGCUAUCUGGACGAGUACUGACGCUGAGACGCGAAAGCGUGGGGAGCAAACAGG